AUGCCGAAGCUGCCGCGCCGUCCCAGACACCCACCACUCCUCCGGCUUUGCGGCGCACAGGCGCGGGCCGCCGCCUCGGGGCCCUCGCGGUCCCGCUGGAGAGUCCGCCGUCGAGCAGCCGUUCCGGCCCCGCAGCAGCAGCGCUCGCGCUCGCGGAUGGCGCCUACAGCGGCGUUGCGCCCGGCACCCACCUCCGCGGUGGCUCCUCCUCCAGGACGAGCGCAGCGGGAGAUCUUCUCUCCGCCGGUGAUGCGGCCGGCCAGCCGGCGCUGGGGUCCUCCGCCGGUCUCUGCUGUGGAUUUGGGAUCGAAGUGA
This 315-nucleotide ribosomal RNA is filed under the name Triticum aestivum (bread wheat). RNAcentral describes it as "partial small subunit ribosomal RNA". Lineage: Eukaryota; Viridiplantae; Streptophyta; Magnoliopsida; Poales; Poaceae. The record is from RNAcentral.